GGGGAGUCCGGGGCAGAUCGCCGCACGAGCGCCGCCCCCGCGCCCGCCGCUUCCUGCAGGCGCGCCCCUUCCAGGGCCCGGCGGUUCCAGGGCCUUGUGCCCCCUACCGCAGUACUGCGCCCGGCUCCCACCCACGUCCCCGCCGCCCCCUGGAGCCCCCACUCUCUCCCGCAGUCCGCUCCCUCCCGCGCCCUUGUGGCCUCCCGCGCCGGGCUCCCUCCUGCGCCCCACCACCUCCGGCAUCCGCUCUACCUCCAGUGCCCAGGUUCCCUGCGGAGCAGAGCGCGCGCUCCCCUUAGCGGGGAGGAGACCGCGGCGUCCUCUAGACGCCCGAGCGCCUCGGACAGUCUGUCCGCUGGGCUUGGAGGACUUUGGCUGCGAGGUUGUUUCUCGGAUCCGGCAGCCUUGCAGAGUGUGUGUAAAACCCUUCCCCCGUCAAGAGGGGACCCAGCCAGCCCGCGCCCUGCCAGCUCGGGGGAUCGGAGGCGGGUGUGAGUGGUUAGAGGAAACUUUCCAGCAGAGCGCCUUGCCGGAGCAAACCACGCAUCUGUCAAGAACGCUCUCUGGGCGCUCUUGCAAGGAGCUUCUGUUGUUCCAGUGCGGUAGACGCAGAAAGGAAGCGAAGGUUUGUGCAUCUGACAGCUAACGCUGAGGACCAGUUGGAAAAUCACACACUCCUCAGCCCCAGCUAAUGAAUAUCACCACCAGCACCACCAGCCCAACUACAGAUCACGGCAUAAAGCGGGAAAGUGUUCAUUCUGUGCAAAACCAAGGGUGGCAAAGAAGGCAGCUUCCAAUCAGUGGAAAUGGAAUAAUUGAAUAAAUGUGUUCUUUUUUAAAAGCGAGAGGGUGUAGUAGAGAAUCUAAUUUGGACAGAUGACAAGGAGAAUGACUUCUCAUAGUUCACGCUAAAGGUGGCCCCCCAAAUAAGUAGCACCCAGACCCUGGUGAGAACAGUCACCUUUCUUGUAGGAUUACAGCUGGCCACAAAGUCACGAGUGCCACCGGCUGAAUGUGGUCAGAUCACGUUCCCAUGUGUGCUGAGGAGAAAAAUGACCAUUAACUGGGGGCACCACCAGUAGGAACAGCAUUGGCAAGAGUUGAACUCACUCCCCAGGACCCCUCUCCUCACCUGGGGCCCAGGCAGCAAGCCAGCCUUUCACCCUUAGAGCUUUUCCAGCACGAGUCAGCUAAUCCUGUAUCCCCUCAAUUCCAUAAGACACAGGCCAGGCUCUCCAGAAGAUUCUCUUAAAGUCUCCUGCUUGGUUUAAGGGCGAUGGGAAAGAGCCACUCCUCUGCAAAGAGCCUAGGAGCAACGCUCAAGCCUCCGGUUGAGACCGUCAUGAUGGGCUAGGCCCCUGCGCAGUGUUUGGGUCACCCUCUGCAGGGUCUGCAUGGAUGGUCCAGCCCCUCUCUUUAGAAUGCGUGGGUGCCUAGCAAACCUCGUUCUCAGCUGUGGGGUCUCAGCCCACGCUGAGCAGCAGAAAAGUCUCCUGUACAUCCUGCUAUGCAUAGUUUGGGGAGUUUUGGGCACACAGUUGUAAUCAGAAUCAUGCUGGAGGCAGGGAGGGAAGGGGAGGGAUGCCUUAGAAGGGUGUGUGGUGAAGUGAGGCUGCCAAAGAUGGGGUGCUGACAUUCAGAGACACAACGGGGACGAGUAACCCACAUACCAAGAGAAAACAUCCCAGGUGCUGCGGUGAGACCUUGGAGAUGAGAGAAGAUGUAGAAGAGAAUUCUGUUGAGGAAGCGAAGCGAAGCGAACGUCAAGGGGGGAUGGUCUAAAGGACCAGCUCCUUGAUAUUCAGAGAGCUCCUAGGAAUCAAGAAUGAGAAGACUAGCAGCUCAGUGGAAAAAUGGGCGAAGAUCACGACCAGAUAGCCCUCGAUGAAAGAAAGACAGGUGGCCCCUGUCCGUCUGCAGCGCUGCUCAGCCUCACUCCCACUAAGGGGAUCCCAGGUGAAAACCACCCUGGGAUCCAUCUCUCACCUUGGAGAUGGGCAAACAUUUUGACAAGACACUGUGUUGUCAACACUGCGGGGACAGGAGCACUCUGACUCAGUGCUGAUGAGUGCAGCAUGGUUCCACCCUGGAGUGCGUGAAUGUGGCAGCAUCCACCCGAACCACAUACCAAGUCCGUCUUUGACACAGAGGGCCACCUGACUGUCCCUGAAACACAUUCCCCUUCCGGGUUCUAGGACAGCAACUUCUUCGGUUUUCUUCCUAUGUCACAGUUGGUACCUCUGAAACUUCUUUGCUGCCUGUUCCUCUUCUGCCUGGCUUCUCUGCCUGGCUUCUCAACGCUGACAUGCUCAGGGCUCAUUCCAGAGCUUUCUUCUCCAUCGCCACCCUCUCAGAUCACCUCAUCCAAUCCCAUUGCCUAGUUGUUCUUUUUUCGGCAUGGUAAAUACCCAUCUGUGUAAAUGUCACCGUUUUAAAGUGUACCACUUAGUGGCACUUAGCACAUUCACAUUGUGCAACUGCCACCUCCAUCUGGCCCCAGCACAUCCCCCAUCACCCCAAAAGAAAACUCUGUAUCCAUUAAGCAGUCACUCCCCAUUCCCUGAUUUCUCAGCCCCUGGCAACUACGCAUCUGCUUUCUGUCUCUGGAUUUGCUUAUUCUGGAUGUUCUGUAUAAAUGGAACUGUUCCCCUAGCACGAUGUUUUCAAGGUUCAUCCACUUUGUAGCAUGUGUUAGGGCUUCCUUCCUUUUCGUGGCUGAAUAAAAUUCUGUUGUGUGGCUA
Ailuropoda melanoleuca (giant panda) is the source of this 2741-nucleotide long non-coding RNA. RefSeq lists it as uncharacterized. Lineage: Eukaryota; Metazoa; Chordata; Mammalia; Carnivora; Ursidae. The record is from RefSeq and is a predicted model, not a curated record. The transcript has 4 exons.